AUUAGAACUGUUCGAACAAGAUGGAUCGUAUGCAAUUUCAACCGAGUGCAGUAAAAACGUCAGUGUGUUCCAGGUUCCUGUUGAAUUUAGAACGAGAUGGAGUUGGUCUCCAGAGCUUGCAGAGAGUGCUGCCUGCUAGAAUAACGGCCCAACGAGAUGGAACAUAACAUCAAAAGUGGACAUUUAAAUCCGCGCCCUACAAUAUCCAUUGCUGCCAUACGAUGAAUUGUAAGUAAUAAUCAGAUAUUUUAUUGUUAAUAGUGUGAAGUACACUGACAUACGGCUUAAGUUGUUAUAAGAAUUUCU
Molecule: long non-coding RNA, 306 nt
Organism: Metopolophium dirhodum (rose-grain aphid)
Lineage: Eukaryota; Metazoa; Arthropoda; Insecta; Hemiptera; Aphididae
Exons: 3
Source: RefSeq, a predicted model, not a curated record